This 427-nucleotide ribosomal RNA is filed under the name uncultured bacterium. RNAcentral describes it as "bacterial SSU rRNA". It matches the Rfam family "Bacterial small subunit ribosomal RNA", at positions 355 to 780 of the family's 1533-position model. The record is from RNAcentral.
UAAGGAAUAUUGGUCAAUGGACGAAAGUCUGAACCAGCCAUGCCGCGUGAAGGAUUAAGGCCCUCUGGGUUGUAAACUUCUUUUAUCUGGGACGAAAAAAGGGCUUUCUAGCUCACUUGACGGUACCAGAGGAAUAAGCACCGGCUAACUCCGUGCCAGCAGCCGCGGUAAUACGGAGGGUGCAAGCGUUAUCCGGAUUUACUGGGUUUAAAGGGUGCGUAGGUGGGUCUGUAAGUCAGUGGUGAAAUCUCCGAGCUUAACUCGGAAACUGCCCUUGAUACUAUAGGUCUUGAAUUGUCUGGAGGUAAGCGGAAUAUGUCAUGUAGCGGUGAAAUGCUUAGAUAUGACAUAGAACACCAAUUGCGAAGGCAGCUUACUACGGAUUGAUUGACACUGAGGCACGAAAGCGUGGGAUCAAACAGGAUUA